AAUUCGAAUACAUCUACUAUGAACCCAAACAACAUUUUAAACGUAUCUUCUAAUUUUAAUAUGAAUAGAAAAGGCAUUUUUAAUAUUAUAGAUAAUAAUAGUUUAGAUGCAAACACAACAACUGAAGAUACACAACAUAAAACGAAUACUCUUAAUACAGAUGGAACUUUGUUAAUAAAAAAUUUAAUUUCAGCCAUAAAUGUACAUAAAAGUACACUAAACAAACUAAGCCCAAAUGAACGAUAUUCAUUUUUUAAAUUAUUAUCUUUAUAUAAUUUAAAUACUGAUGAAGAGAAGGAACUUUAUGACUUGUUAAUAAAACCGAUUCAAUCGAACAUCAGUGUUAAUGUAAAUAUGAGUUCAUAUGAUAAUGACAUAAUUUGCAACAAUGAACGUUUUACUAAUAUUAAUAACGGAUCCAAUAUAAACGUUUUUUAUGACGAAAGUGAACAAAUUGAAAAUAUGAUUAAAUUAAAAUAUUUUUUAAGACAAUUAAAUGAUAAUCAAACAGAUAUGCCUGUAAAGCAUACUAAUACAACUACUGGUAUUGGUAUAAAUACUAAAACGAUACAUGAAUAUAAUGAUAGUAAAAAUGUUUCAUAUAAUACAGAUGUUAGUAAGUUAUUAAAAUUAUUUCAUGAUACUAAUAAUGCUAAUAAUAAUGUUAAUAAACAGAAUAAAAUAGAUGACUUGGUCAGUGAAACAAAUGAAAAUAUGGAUGAUUUUGUUAAUAAGAUUAUUAGUGGUAAUGGUACUAAUGAAGUUAAUGAUAACAGUAUACAACAUAGUGUAUAUAACAACAAUAUGGAUAAAUAUAAUGCCAUAAUUAAAAACAAUAUGUAUUACAAUGAUCAUAAUAAUAAUAACAAUAAUAAUAACAAUAAUAAUAACAAUAAUAAUAANNNNNNNNNNAAUAAUAAUAACAAUAAUAAUAACAAUAAUAAUAACAAUAAUAAUAACAAUAAUAAUAAUAAUAAUAAAAAUAUGGUUGGAACAACACCUUUACAGAUGCAUAUAUUCGAUAAAGAACAACAUGUAGAUGAACAAAAAAAAAAAAAAAAAAUGUAUACCACUGCUACUACUACUAUGAAUAAUAUGAAUAGUAAUUAUAUUAUGGGUAGUGAUAACAAUAAUCAUAUAAGUACUAACAGAAGUCAUAUGAGCAGUAAUAACAGUAAUAGUAUCAAAAAUAGCCUGUUUAAUAUAUAUAAUAAUGUUGAUAAAAUAAGAAUGCAACAUGUUGGUAGUAACGGAAUAAAUAAUUGUGAAUAUACAAGAGUACAUAUGACUCAUAAUGUUAAUGGAAACGUUCGUAACACUGAUCCAAUACACUUUCAAUAUGUGAGUAGUGACAAGAGUAGUAGUAAUAAUAGAAAUAUGUUAAUAAAUGGCAACAAUAGCAAUAACGGAUUUUUUAGUAACGACGAAACUAGCAGGGAUUGUAAUGACGUCAGCAUAAACAAAAAGAGCCACAUUAAUAAACAGGGUAUUAACAAAAACGAUAUUAACAAACACGAUAUUAACAAACACGAUAUUAACAAAAACGAUAUUAACAAAAACGAUAUUAACAAAAAUGAUAUUAACCAAAAUGACCUUAACCAAAACGGCCUUAUCCAAAACGACCUUAACCAAAAUGGCCUUAACCAAAAUGGCCUUAACCAAAAUGGCCUUAACCAAAACGACCUUAACCAAAACAACCUUAACCAAAACGACCUUAACCAAAACGACCUUAACCAAAACGAGCUUAACCAAAACGACCUUAACCAAAACGACCUUAACCAAAACAACAUCAGAAACAACAAU
RNAcentral lists this long non-coding RNA (1803 nucleotides) under Piliocolobus tephrosceles (Ugandan red Colobus). Its description in RNAcentral is "lncRNA (ENSPTEG00000011291.1)". Lineage: Eukaryota; Metazoa; Chordata; Mammalia; Primates; Cercopithecidae. The record is from RNAcentral.